CUCCCCUUCUUUCUUUCCCUUCUUGACAUUAUUUAAUUUCUCAUAAUAUCUUGCUUUCUCUCGUCAACACAAAUAACUUGUAGGUUGCAUUCGUUCAUUUUCUGUGUGUGAUUGUUUCCAUAGCGUGUAUGGAAGCUGAAGCUACUUUAAAAGAUCAUCCUGAGCAUGUUCAGCAGUUGAUUCUGGUAGGACCAGCUGGAUUUUCAUCUGAGACUGAACAUAUGUCCAAGCGGAUGACCCAGUUCAGAGCAACUUGGAAGGGAGUUGUCUUGAAUCAUCUGUGGGAGACUAAUUUUACCCCAAUGAAACUUAUCAGGUAGAUGCUUUUCUAAACGCCUUGCUUCUACUUCUAGUCUAACAUGCUGCGACCAUUGUUUUUGCAUAUGUUAAGGCAUAAUACAAGUAUUUACAUUGACACUUUCAUGUAUCUGAUUUUUCUCAUUUGUUCAUCUCACUGUACUCUCUGGUUACUGCAAGCUUUUACUUUACUCAGCGAGCAUAAUUCAUUUUAAGUCUAAUGCCUACUGCUGUUUAUGAUUCAUCUCUCCUUUGUUCCCCUUCGUCCAAUGAUAUGAUCAUAUGGCGAGCAUAUUGUACGUUGACUGCAAAUGCUUUGCCUGGAUUUCAAUGUUUUUCGAGGAAUGCAUGGUAAAGGACCUGGGAAAACCCAUAUAAGAUACUGGCGGAUGGUUUCAGUAAACUCUUGGUUUUUUAACUACCUAUACUUUACUACUGUCCUGCUUGAUUUGCUGUGUCUUAUUUGAAUUGUCACCUUUCCUUGAUUUAAGACAUCAAACACUUAAUCAUGCAUCUGUCCGACAUUAGUGGCAUGAUCUAUAUGAAUUCACUACACUGUAAGUAACAACAACUGCCUUAUUCAAAAAAGAAAACAAAAUAUCAUAUCUUAGGAACCCUCUAUAUUGGUAUAUCCCAAGUAAUGCAAGAUAUUGUUUCAAAGGGGAAAAAGGGUAGAACUUACAAUUUCAUAAAGAAACAAUUUGCGGGAGGGAGUGAAAGGUAAGGUCUCAUUUAUUUGAAUUAUUUGGUCUUGAUUUGGCAUUUUCACCAUAAUUUAUCCCAUGUUCAGAAUGCAUCUGUCAAACCUCUUAUUUCUUCCCUUUAAAAAGAUGUUUGGUAGGGAUAUCAGGGUAACUUUUCAUUUUAGUAUGUUAAUAGGAAAUCAAGAGACUAAACUUCUCUUUCUUUGAUUUAUCAUAGUUAUCGUUAAAAUUAAGCCAUUCAUUAUGCGUUUGAAUUUUACGUGACACGAGGCAUUCAUGUUUUAAAAAUAUUUGUAAAGAAAAGACUGCAGUUGUCCUGAAAAAUGCUUUCUAUAAGUAAAGUUUACCCUUACGAGCUGUGGCUGCUAAUCUUUCCCUCUGCCUCACUCUCUCAUAAUCCUGUAGGUUUUCUGUAACUUAAAGAGUUACCAAGUGCUAGAGCCAUUUCUUUCAAGUUUUAUCAAUGAUUUGACAAAAAAGAUUCGAUUCCACUUACAGUAUCAAUUUUCAAAAAAAGAUUCGACUUCACAGAUGGUUGUUUCAUAUGCUAGAUUUUUGAAAAAUCAUUUUAUAUGUUGAUGCUGUGAAUAAUUACUUUGUAGAGUUGGUACUGCUCAUAUUCUUGAUAUUUGAUACUUUAGCUUGCGUAUCGACUUUUCUUUGUUCAAAGCUGCACCCUGUAGCUGUCCGGGAUCCUUUCCUGGAUUGAGGUUUGAACUGGGUUAGUAGUUCUGAAAGAAUUUUUUAUACGUGACUUUUAUUUAUCUGGAGAGUGCUAAUAUUGCUGGCAAUUUAAUAAUGUAGAGGCUUAGGCCCAUGGGGUCCAAACCUUGUCCGUAGAUACACAAAUGCUUGAUUUACUGCAGAUUCUAAUGGAGAUGAUUUGACUGAGGAGUGGUCUGGACUACUCUCAGAUUGUUUGUUUUAUGGAAGAUUAUAUAUAUCACACUUUGGCAGCAAAACCUAGUGGGGGAGCUAUGCUUAAAAUAUAUAUUUUCCUUUGGAGCUUUUGCCAAGAGUCCUUUUUUAUACAGGUGAUAUACCCACUCUCUGUCUUUUUCUCUUUACCUCUCUCAAUCUCCCUCACUCCCCUCUCUCUUCACACACAAGAACACCACUUGCAAAUCAUGCUAAUUUUUACUACCGAGUUGCAGAAUAAAAUGCUGAAAACCUAAUAUUCCUGCGACUGUAGAUCCUAAUUGUGUCUAGCUCCGAAUUGGUUUAGUAUUGUUCAUUUUCUGUUUUUUAUAAUGCCGCUAUAAUGUCUUCUGCUUGCCACACUUUUCUGGAAUAUGAGGCUGUCAUUAGAAUUACAGAGGUAGAACUUGGAUUUCUCACAUAUUUACAUGUGAUAGGAUAUGUAUCAAUUUAGUUGCAAGCACGGAACAUGUAAAUAUUGAUUUGACCUAUGGGUUCUCUGUUUCUUACCAAUCAGCAGCGCACGGUAAAUUUAUGCUGUACCAGCAGGAAGAGGAAAAACCUUAAAGAGAGAGAGUGUUUUAAGAAAAUAUGCGCCACUCAUUAGUCCUUCUGUAACUUGAGAGGGUGGGAUGAGGGAACUAAAUGAAAGACUGCAUGAACUCUUUGCCGUUACAGUUGAUGCAGUUAGAUGGACCCUGCCUUCACAUCUUUGCAAUAAGGUCUUCUUGAAAGCUAAUAGGAACUAUUCCUCAGCUCAUUAAAGAAUGCUAAUGCAAUUGAAUUUGCACUGUGUAGACCUUGGGAUUUAACAACAACAACAACAACAACAAACCCAGUGUAUUCCCACCUAGUGGGGUCUGGGGGGGUAAGAUGUACGCAGUCCAUACCUCUACCUCUGAUGAAGUAGAAAGGCUGUUUCCGAAAGACCUUGGGAUUUAAAUGAGUAAAAAAUUUGGAUGGCCGGCUAUGCAGUUAUUUCACUAAACAUAAGUAGGAACCUCAACUACACGGGAAUUUAUUGUCCAAACGGAUGAGGACCAUGAAGAUUUAGUAAUAACCUUGUCUGCCUCGCAGGCAAUAUAAUUUUAAGCAUUCAAAAAAUGGCUGGAUUGAUCUGAUUUAAUAAGUUAUUAUUUGCAAUUGUAUACUGACCUUCCUCAUUGCGAGGAGCCUCACCCUCUUCACUUAUAAAGAAAAGGAAAUCCUUGAACUGGUCGUGAUGACUAGCAGACAACCAUUAUAACUUAAACACACUUUUUUUGAUAUUUUAUAUUUUAAUCUUUGACUGUGUCAAAUUGAUUGUCAUGUCCUGUUUAGUCCUUUAUAGGAACAUGUAGGUGCAAUAAUACAGCGAACGAGACUGAUAAUAGAGUUGAAGGUAGACCUAAAAUCAGAUUGAAUAGAGUUUCAGAAGUACCAUAUCUCUCUCCGAGUCAAUGUAGAUCUUAGCUUAGGAACAUAACAUAAUUGAAGCGAAACACCUAUCUAGGCUAUUCCUACUUGUAAAAUUACUGUUUGGUUGUUGUUACGUUUCUCUCUAUCCUAUAUUUGUCUGGAGUCCUUUUAUUCUGUUUAAGAGACAUUUAUGUCCUUAUGGAAAUGCGAAACUGAAAGAAACUCAACGAUCCUUUGAGAUACAAAUUAUUUUGUAUUGGAAUAAAUAGGCUUAAAAUGAGCGAAAUAGCUAUAGAGGGUUUGUAUAGUCGAUAGCUAGUUUAGGACUGAGAUGUAGUUGAUUGAUUUAGUCUCUGGUAAAGUAGAAGGGAGAAUUAUUUCUUCUGUUUGAUGGAAUGAGUAUAUUUCUGUAACCAAGAUGAUUAGUCAUUAUUUGCCGUAGUAAAAUGUAGUAGUAUUGUGCUGGUGGAUGGGGUUCACAUUCAAUCCUGUUAUUUAAUGUGUCUGUUAGCAAUUGACCUUUUUUCUGCUGGAAGCAUUUAAUGGCUGUUUUGAUAUGACCCUUAGAAGUGAUUAGUUAUGGGUAGUUAAUAGACUAAACGAAGGGUCCAGAUCAGAAGAUUAGUAAUGAAGAGGAUGGCUCGGAUCAGUCUACGUGGCAACUCAAGUGUUUAUAAAAGCUCCGGAGGAGAGAGAAUUCUAAAAGAGAAAGCCGGUACCCCAACUAACUUCCCCUCUUCACGUUUUCUCUCCUUUCUCUUCCAUCUCCUAUUUUGAUUCCCUCUAAUCCCUUCUCUUCUCUUCCGUUCAGAUCUGAAGUUCAACAAUGGCGACGUAGUAAUUAUCUUGAAUUUUAUUUAGUUAGUUACUUGCAAUUUACUUUUUUGUAAUUCGAUUCACUAAAGAGAAAAUGGUCCCGAAAUUCAUUGCUAUGUUAAUUUCCUGUUAAAUUCGCAUUUUACAAAGCUAGGUCAUAGCAUUUGGUAUUAGAGCCUUGCUCCUGCGACUAUGGUAUCACCAUGAUCCUGAAUGAAGGCACCAGGUUGAAAUUUGUUGAGGAUCGAACCAUUAGAAUUGAAUGGGAAUAACUAUCAGUGAAAUUGGGCAAAAUAAUAAGGAAUUUUACAAAUUGCAGAAACAUGUAUAAUGUGUUCGUAACAUUGAUUGUGAGUGCCACAUCUAUAUUGAGAUUGCAGGAUGUUGUGUCCACAACAUCGAUUGUGAGUGCUACAUUUGUAUCGAGAGUGCAGGAUGUUGUGUACAUUGCAUCAAUUGCGAGUGCCACAUCUGUAUCAGAAGUGAUCCUACGUCUCCUGAAAGUGAAGGCCUGAACUACUAUGAAACUGAGAUCACACGACCUUCCAAUUUUCACGUGCUUGACGAUCCACAGGUAGAACUUGAUGCUUCCAUCCUCCGGUACAUUCAAGAGCUUGAUUUGUCUGGUAAUGAAUGGCUGGAAUGUGUGCAAUUUAAGGCAAUUAAAAUUGCUUCCUACUUGUUUGAGAAAAUGUCUGUGAGGGAUCAUGUCCAAGUAGUACACAUGUAUACAUAAGAUUUGAGAGUAAUUAAUUGCUUCCUAAAGAAAAUGUCUGAAAGGGAUCAUGUCCAAGUAGUACACAUGUAGUCAUAAGAUUUGAGAGUAAAUUCUCUCUUGUUUUAGUUGGAAAGGUACGGAUUGCUCCUGUAUGGGCUCCAGGGAUAGGUUUGACGGUGUGAAUUUAGUUGGUCACACAAUUACUGUUAGAUCAUUAUUGAUGGAUAUUACUACCAUGUCGUGUUUGCAUAAAUCUUCUAAUAACAUCAUUAGAGUGUGGGCUACGAGAUGGAUGUGGUUUAUGCAUCCUUCUAUUGUGCAUAUUGGUUAUGUAUGUUCAGGUGCUACAAUUCCAAUAUAUAGCCAUGUUUACAGUAGUAAAGUAGACUCCUCUGCUUUCCAAUCUCUUGAAGACCCAAGGUAGAAUUUGAUUCUUUUGUUAUUGUUGGAAUUAGAGGGCAAUACAUCCCCGGAUAUAUAGGAAUUGUAUGAUUCUUUUGGGUCUUUUGCUUAAUGUUCAUUUUGAUAUUGGCACAAGUCUGUUCAGUACAACUUGUAGCAUGUCCUUGUUUCCCAUUGGGCAAGAAUGUGCAGUUCAAUUAUUUGAAUCAACACAUCACAAAAUAAUUGUUUCUCUGAUGAUUUCCUGCUAUACUAGAGAUUUAUGGUGUCAUGAAGUUGAGAGUAUAUUUUCUGGUUGUUUGGAGGAUAUCCAAACCACCACUGUUGAGUUAAUAGUGUCAUUAGGAUGGUGUACAUCUGAGUCUUCUCUACAGCCUAAGUGCAUGCAGUCCAUCAUUGUCUCUAUGAAAAGGUUGCUGCCCGAUUUGUUUCCAA
Capsicum annuum is the source of this 5688-nucleotide long non-coding RNA. RefSeq lists it as uncharacterized. Lineage: Eukaryota; Viridiplantae; Streptophyta; Magnoliopsida; Solanales; Solanaceae. The transcript is spliced from 3 exons. The record is from RefSeq and is a predicted model, not a curated record.